GACGAACGCUGGCGGCGUGCUUAACACAUGCAAGUCGAACGGAACGGCCCUGCUUUUGUGGGGUGCUCGAGUGGCGAACGGGUGAGUAACCCGUGAGUAACCUGCCCUUGACUUUGGGAUAACUUAAGGAAACUGGGGCUAAUACCGGAUAGGAGCUCCUGCUGCAUGGCGGGGGUUGGAAAGUUUGGGCGGUUGGGGAUGGGAUCGGGGCUGAUCUGCUUGUUGGUGGGGUAGCGGCUUACCAAGGCUUUGACGGGUAGCCGGCCUGCGAGGGUGACCGGCCACAUUGGGACUGAGAUACCGCCCAUACUCCUACGGGAGGCAGCAGGGGGGAAUAUUGCACAAUGGGCGGGAGCCUGAGGCAGCAACGCCGCGUGCGGGAUGACGGCCUUCGGGUUGUAAACCGCUUUCGCCUGUGACGAAGAGUGAGUGACGGUAAUGGGUAAAGAAGCACCGGCUAACUACGUG
RNAcentral lists this ribosomal RNA (468 nucleotides) under uncultured bacterium. Its description in RNAcentral is "partial 16S ribosomal RNA". It matches the Rfam family "Bacterial small subunit ribosomal RNA", at positions 28 to 507 of the family's 1533-position model. The record is from RNAcentral.